CAGAGUUCAUGCCCUUCGGGGUAGAUCUCCCACCCUAUGUAUUUAUACCUUUGUUGCUUUGGUAGGCCGUUGGGCUUCGGCCUGGCUACCGGCUCCGGCUGGUAAGUGCCUACCAGAGGACCCCUAAAUACUACGUAUUAGUGUUGUCUGAGUACUAUAUAAUAGUUA
RNAcentral lists this unclassified non-coding RNA (168 nucleotides) under uncultured Helotiales. RNAcentral describes it as "sequence contains ITS1". Lineage: Eukaryota; Fungi; Ascomycota; Leotiomycetes; Helotiales. The record is from RNAcentral.